This 472-nucleotide long non-coding RNA is filed under the name Nicotiana tabacum (common tobacco). RNAcentral describes it as "long non-coding RNA (NTAB_LNC008895)". Lineage: Eukaryota; Viridiplantae; Streptophyta; Magnoliopsida; Solanales; Solanaceae. The record is from RNAcentral.
AGGUUCAAUGUCUUGUCUGUCCUUUUGUGUCGUCCAAUAAAACAAUGUCUGUUGCUGGCUAAACAGACAUACAUGUCUAGUGCUGCUGUUCUAUUAUAUAUAUCUGGAGAUAACUGAUUCCAUAGUCGCCUGACGUUUGCUUGGCUCCAUACCUGCAAGUCAAAAGCUCUAAUAAGUUGUUUAUGUUUUUGAACCCAAAACAAGCUACAUCAGGAUAGCUCUCUAUACCCUAACCAUAAAAAACUACUAUUCCUAUGACUCCAUAAGGUAAAAGAAUUCUAAACUAAUUCGAAUUAGUGAGGAAACGGUAGCAUUUGUGAUAGAAAGGAAAGAAUCAUAUAGAUUUUUCAGUAAACUUGACCUUGAAAAGUGCUUAAUUUGCUGUUUUCUGGCAUUCCACUUUGAGAAAACUGGUUUCAAAUGACCUUCAAUAGCGGAGUUAUUUGGUUGAACUCAACAUAUCGAGGGAUCU